Nothoprocta perdicaria is the source of this 480-nucleotide long non-coding RNA. RefSeq lists it as uncharacterized. The record is from RefSeq and is a predicted model, not a curated record. Lineage: Eukaryota; Metazoa; Chordata; Aves; Tinamiformes; Tinamidae. The transcript has 2 exons.
AGCGGCAUGCAGUAAGAAGCCAAGCAGACUGCAGGGUGCUCUGGAACAGCAGCUGUCAGGAAAGAAGGUCGCUGCUGGACAGGAGAAGACAAAACAGGAUCAUACAGUGACAGGAUGAGUUUCAAGGGCCAAACUGCAGCCCAAACCCAUGGAGACAGGGAACCUGCAGAGACUGCACUUCCCASUGGAGCUUGCUCCUACUCAGUAUUUUCAUUGCCAUUCACUGGAGGCAUAUGUUCUUCUCCAAGCCCUGCAAAGACCUCUGAGGCAAAAGAGGGAGUAGGGGGAUUAAUUUAAAGAUGCUUGAUGGCUUCAGCAAUCUGUAGUGAAUCCCUCCGCAGUUUGAUGUUGCUGACUGUUGGGCUCAGAGAAAUGGGACAAGAAUAGCAGGUACUGCAACAGUCAGGACUUGAAAGAGACUGUCAUGGGAGCUUAAGAUAACUUCAUUAAGUGCUCCUAACAUCUGUAAGUUGCAUCCCA